CCAUACUUUCAGGUGCUGGGGUUCUAAAAACGUGUGUGCAUGGGAAGUAGUGGGGGGCAGACAAUAGGGAACAGAGAUGGUGGGGAGUGAGUAGCCAGAAGUGCACAGAUCAAAAAUUAAGCAAACACCAAGCGAAGAAAAUCUUAGAGUCUCAUGGAAUGAGUAAGAAGUUACCUGCCACUGAACCGCCAACAGAGCCAUCCCAAAGACUAGUCCCUGUCCAGCCACGUCGAAGACCUUUGUCAGAAAUGCAGGCUCUCAACAUAGGGAGGUCAUUAGGUGGUAUCACACCUUAACCGUACAUGGGGCUGAAAAAUACAGAUUUUGGGCCUCACCCCAGUGGUCCGUGUGUCAGCUCCCAGGGGACUGUGACCCAGCCUUGGGAACUAGCACUUGUCUUCCAGAAUUCUGGAAGGAGGGCAAUACCAAACCAAUGAUCUCCCUGAAAAACCUUUCUGCUGUGAAGAUUUGAAAGGAACCACCCUCAGGGCAAAAAUCCAGGUACUCAUUCUAACUUUAGCUUUAUUUACCAUAGUAAAAUAAUAAUAAAUAAGGGGGGAUUAACGUGUGCACGAGCUAUUUUAGCUUCCUCAGAAAUGGGCAUGUAUGGGAUGUGAGCUUCAGAUAAGGCAGGGCCAGCAGCAAUUCUUGGGGAACAAAACCACUCAGCCCGGCCUCCACCCAGCUACGGACCCUCAAAGCCAUCUUUCCCCAGCAGACGGCAUCCACCAAGCUCAUACUAUUUAAGGAAAAGCUCCUUGGAGGGUGCUGUUGAGUCCUUCGGCCCGAAUUUCCGGAGGCCCUGGGCACCCUCACAGUCCCCAAGUCUCUCUGAUGCCCCUGGGACAUUAGUGUGCCACAGAAGCCUGGGAGCAGGAGGGUUGGGGGGGAAAGCCACGAGGAAG
Long non-coding RNA from Phyllostomus discolor (pale spear-nosed bat), 905 nucleotides. RefSeq lists it as uncharacterized. NCBI's taxonomy places the organism in Eukaryota, Metazoa, Chordata, Mammalia, Chiroptera, Phyllostomidae. The record is from RefSeq and is a predicted model, not a curated record. The transcript is spliced from 3 exons.